This 455-nucleotide long non-coding RNA is filed under the name Androctonus crassicauda. Lineage: Eukaryota; Metazoa; Arthropoda; Arachnida; Scorpiones; Buthidae. The record is from RNAcentral.
UUUUAAUAUUAAAAAUGAAAUAAAUUAAAUGAUAACUUAUAAACUAUAAUAACCUAUUGUUAUAUUUAAAAAAUAGAUUAUAUUUUAACCCCAGUUUAUGAGAAUAAAACAUUCUUGAAAACUUCUUGUAAAUGUGGUCCUCAUAACUCAAGAUUUGGCACUAUGCUUCAUCUACAAAUGCUCAUGCACAUUUGGAAUGUAUGAGCUUCAGUAUGUAUAUUUUGGCACAUGCUGUAAUUUACACAAAGUUUGUCUUUGAUAUAUUCUUCAUGUAUUGGGUCACAAUUCAAAAUGUAGUUCCUGCAGUGAAUUGCAAUCAACAAAGUUUAAAACAUGCUCGUUUACUAGAUCACUUUUUGAUAAAGUUUACCUUAACCUACAGGAUCCAGAUUCAAUUCCUUCCACACUUCGUAUUUUUUCAUUUUUUCUGAUGGAAUUCAGUUCUGUGAUCAUCC